RNAcentral lists this ribosomal RNA (530 nucleotides) under Escherichia coli. RNAcentral describes it as "bacterial SSU rRNA". It matches the Rfam family "Bacterial small subunit ribosomal RNA", at positions 882 to 1412 of the family's 1533-position model. RNAcentral also lists the same sequence under 1 other name. Lineage: Bacteria; Pseudomonadati; Pseudomonadota; Gammaproteobacteria; Enterobacterales; Enterobacteriaceae. The record is from RNAcentral.
ACGGCCGCAAGGUUAAAACUCAAAUGAAUUGACGGGGGCCCGCACAAGCGGUGGAGCAUGUGGUUUAAUUCGAUGCAACGCGAAGAACCUUACCUGGUCUUGACAUCCACGGAAGUUUUCAGAGAUGAGAAUGUGCCUUCGGGAACCGUGAGACAGGUGCUGCAUGGCUGUCGUCAGCUCGUGUUGUGAAAUGUUGGGUUAAGUCCCGCAACGAGCGCAACCCUUAUCCUUUGUUGCCAGCGGUCCGGCCGGGAACUCAAAGGAGACUGCCAGUGAUAAACUGGAGGAAGGUGGGGAUGACGUCAAGUCAUCAUGGCCCUUACGACCAGGGCUACACACGUGCUACAAUGGCGCAUACAAAGAGAAGCGACCUCGCGAGAGCAAGCGGACCUCAUAAAGUGCGUCGUAGUCCGGAUUGGAGUCUGCAACUCGACUCCAUGAAGUCGGAAUCGCUAGUAAUCGUGGAUCAGAAUGCCACGGUGAAUACGUUCCCGGGCCUUGUACACACCGCCCGUCACACCAUGGGAGUG